GGGAAACCGUGAGGGAGAGACCGCCACACACACAAACACACACAGACACACACCCGGCCCCUCCCAGAGCUCGUAAGGUGAAACUCCCACAGAACCCCGAGGAGCAGCCCCGGCUUCUCUCCCACAGCGAGGAGUGGCUUUUCCAGAGCGCUCGGGAGCGCGGCUUUCCCUGGAGCAGAGCCGGGACGGGGGUUUUCCUCGCGCUUCAGCGCAUCCUGAGGGGACGCGCGCCCUGGAUUAAGUAAGGGAAAGCAUUAAGACUUCGCAUACCACUGAGGCUGAGCAUCAUGCAAGAUCUGUCAAGAGUCAAUUUUUGCCUAAAGAGACGCGUUUGGGAAAGAAAACACAGCUUUCUGCCUAAUUAGACAGGCUGGCCUGACUUGCUGAAGCUGUGACACAAGCACCAGAGCUGACACGAAGAAAGCAUCGGGAGAGCACAUCCACACACCAAACCACCCCUUUUGGAGACAAGAUGUGAGAUCAGACACUGCAAGAGCACACAGCAAUUUCUGGUUGCAACGAAAUACUCAACAGACCUCGAAACCCUCCGUGCUUCUGACUUCUUCCAGGAAAAUUUGGGAGCGCCUCAGCUGCUUCUGGGGUCACAAAAUUCCUUCCAGCACGAGGAACAGUGCAAGUGCCAUCCUGGUCAUCAACUGCAAACAGAAGGCUUGCAAAAGUAGAAGCAGCUCCAUGCCAAAGAAUGCAAAGGAUAAGGAGAAAAGCCUGGACCAAUUGGCAUCACCAGCUUCCCAGAAAGGCUGCAGGGUAGAUGGGAUACAAAGCCAUGAAAUAACACCUUGAUAAGGAUGGUUGGGAUCUUGUCAUGGAUGAUAAGAACACCCAGGGAAAUUUUAAGCAGGACACACCCUCCUCAAACACUGUGGAGCUUGUUGCUGUGGGACAUCAGUCUGGCAAAAGUGAAAAAAGGGACUGGCCAUUUGUAUGAACUCAGAAGUUUUUAACUCUGGAGUUGAAUUUUUUAGUUUGCCUUUUGCUUUGGUUUGCAAAGACAGUUCUGCAGGAAUUGCUUCCAUCUAUUACAUAGAGGCUGGUUAAUCAUAAUUUUCCUCACAGUAUUUCUUCAGGAUAAUUCCCCAUUAAGAACAUCUGCAGUAAGAAAAAGAAGACUAAAAGUGAGAGAUAGAGUGAUAAAGAGGAUAAGAACUGUUAGGUAAAUAGAGCUUAAACGCAGGUAAUGGACUUUUAGCAUGGGUCAGCUGUGCUGUAAUUGUGAGCUAAAGUUAGUUGAAUUAGGAGGCUGCAAGCAGGUGACACAGUUGGCUAAAGAGCUGUCCUUGAGGUAAUUCAGCAGCACACUCCUCCUUCUGAAAAAUGCUCCCAGCGUUUCUUGAAAGAGAGUUUGCACUGGUCUGUUUAAGGUUGAUUGCUAUUGAAAUGGAACCCACAGAAGCAAUUAACAGUCAGCAGCUCUGCACUGCAACCAGGGAAGGAGCCCUGCACUGCACACAGUGGCAAACAUGAGGUUUAAUAAAUAGGAAUUCCAAGGGAUUUUCACAGGUUUAGUAGAGUGGUGACAUAUGUUAUCAUCCUGCUCACCACAGACUGCAAUAGGAUUUUACACUGUCAUGUCACAUCGGCCCAUGAUAACCAGAAGUCAUUUAUUUCCUAAGAAAAUAGUAACUAGAUAUGACAACCUGUGUUGCCUCAUGGUGAGGUUAUGGUAGUAUUUACUGAUAAUGUGAAGUAUAACUUGUGUCAUCUAUUAGAUUUUGCAGUAGAAAUUCAGAGCAUUUCUAAAGUUAAAAGAACAGCCCAGUUUGUUUGUGUCUUGUCUUUUUGGUUGAUAACAUAAUAAGAACUUCUAUCACUUGCAUACAGCUUACAUUAAAAACUAUAUAGCAAUUCUUAAAUUAAGAAUUAAUCUAUCUUCAAAGUGAAAUAAAUAAUUAGACUUCUUUGUAAUUAUAAAAUUCCUCAUUAUGUAGCUCCUUUUUUUGCAGAAGCAGGGAGAGAUGUAUUUAUCUGUGUCUCUGUGCUUCUAUCUAUCUAUUGGGUCUCUCCUGCUUUUGUUUUUCUAGACAGGAUAUAGUGGUUGUAUUUUAACGCUGCAGAAUCUGAAAUGAGUCCUCUAUUAAACUAAGAAUGCAUAGUUACCAUUCUGGUUUUAUUUUCCUCGGGAAACAUAAAUAAUUAAACUUGACUUCAAGUAAAAAGAUGAAGUUAGCCUUCCUACUGUACUCCAAUCAUUUUUCCUUUAUGGCUUGGCUGGCAGGAUGGUAAUCCUGGACUCUUGCUAGAAAUUACCACCUGAGAGUUCUCUUCAUUUGAGUCCUUUUGCAAGGUGGAUGCAGUGGAUGUCUACAACACAAUUUAAAAGGCUUUUCAUCGGGCUUCAUUCUUGAUUUCUACUGUAAAUUCCACAAGCUACAGUAGUUUAAUGCAGGAGCGUAGAUGUCCAUAAAAAGCU
Long non-coding RNA from Lepidothrix coronata (blue-crowned manakin), 2431 nucleotides. RefSeq lists it as uncharacterized. The record is from RefSeq and is a predicted model, not a curated record. The transcript has 5 exons. NCBI's taxonomy places the organism in Eukaryota, Metazoa, Chordata, Aves, Passeriformes, Pipridae.